CCUAUAUGGCCCCUGGAUUGGACUGCGGCCGAUCAGGCUGCUGGUGAGGUAAUGGCCCACCAAACCUGUAACCGGUACGGGCUCUGAGAGGAGGAGCCCGGAGAUGGGCACUGAGACAAGGGCCCAGGCCCUAUGGGGCGCAGCAGGCGCGAAACCUCUGCAAUAGGCGAAAGCUUGACAGGGUUACUCUGAGUGAUUUCCGUUAAGGAGAUCUUUUGGCACCUCUAAAAAUGGUGCAGAAUAAGGGGUGGGCAAGUCUGGUGUCAGCCGCCGCGGUAAUACCAGCACCCCGAGUGGUCGGGACGUUUAUUGGGCCUAAAGCAUCCGUAGCCGGUUCUACAAGUCUUCCGUUAAAUCCACCUGCUUAACAGAUGGGCUGCGGAAGAUACUAUGGAGCUAGGAGGCGGGAGAGGCAAGCGGUACUCGAUGGGUAGGGGUAAAAUCCGUUGAUCCAUUGAAGACCACCAGUGGCGAAGGCGGCUUGCCAGAACGCGCUCGACGGUGAGGGAUGAAAGCUGGGGGAGCAAACCGGAUUAGAUACCCGGGUAGUCCCAGCUGUAAACGAUGCAGACUCGG
This 576-nucleotide ribosomal RNA is filed under the name uncultured archaeon. Its description in RNAcentral is "bacterial SSU rRNA". It matches the Rfam family "Archaeal small subunit ribosomal RNA", at positions 187 to 771 of the family's 1478-position model. The record is from RNAcentral.